This 335-nucleotide RNase P RNA is filed under the name human gut metagenome. Its description in RNAcentral is "Bacterial RNase P class A". It matches the Rfam family "Bacterial RNase P class A". From Rfam's summary of the family: Ribonuclease P (RNase P) is a ubiquitous endoribonuclease, found in archaea, bacteria and eukarya as well as chloroplasts and mitochondria. Its best characterised activity is the generation of mature 5'-ends of tRNAs by cleaving the 5'-leader elements of precursor-tRNAs. The record is from RNAcentral.
UGACAGACGAUCGCGGGGCACAUUUUUGUGCAAUGAGGAAAGUCCGGGCUCCGGGGCAAAGGAUGCCGGGUAACUCCCGGUGAAGGCGACUUUAAGGAAAGUGCAACAGAAAAUAUACCGCCUCUUUUUGAGGUAAGGGCGAAAUGGCGAGGUAAGAGCUCACCGGCUUCGGGGUAACCCGAAGGCCUUGUAAACCCCAUCCGGAGCAACGCCGGCAUGGCAUCGCAGGCUAACAGACGGCCCGUCUCUGCGAUGGCCGGCGGCUUUAGCCGCAGAGAGAUCUGCGGCAUAGAUAGAUGACCGUCUGAUACAGAACCCGGCUUACAGUCAUGCUG